RNAcentral lists this ribosomal RNA (465 nucleotides) under Haptophyta environmental samples. Its description in RNAcentral is "SSU rRNA". It matches the Rfam family "Eukaryotic small subunit ribosomal RNA", at positions 432 to 900 of the family's 1831-position model. Lineage: Eukaryota; Haptophyta. The record is from RNAcentral.
GCGCGUAAAUUGCCCGAAUCCUGACACAGGGAGGUAGUGACAAGAAAUAACAAUACAGGGCUACUUCUAGUCUUGUAAUUGGAAUGAGUACAACUUACAUCUCUUCACGAGGAUCAAUUGGAGGGCAAGUCUGGUGCCAGCAGCCGCGGUAAUUCCAGCUCCAAUAGCGUAUAUUAAAGUUGUUGCAGUUAAAAAGCUCGUAGUCGGAUUUCGGGGCGGGCCGAGCGGUCUGCCGAUGGGUAUGCACUGUUCGGCGCGUCCUUCUUUCCGGAGGCUGCGCCUACUCUUAGCUGAGCGGGCGUGGGAGACGGAUCGUUUACUUUGAAAAAAUCAGAGUGUUUCAAGCAGGCAGCUCGCUCUUGCAUGGAUUAGCAUGGGAUAAUGAAAUAGGACUCUGGUGCUAUUUUGUUGGUUUCGAACACCGGAGUAAUGAUUAACAGGGACAGUCAGGGGCACUCGUAUUCC